This 250-nucleotide ribosomal RNA is filed under the name uncultured bacterium. RNAcentral's name for it is "partial 16S ribosomal RNA". It matches the Rfam family "Bacterial small subunit ribosomal RNA", at positions 524 to 773 of the family's 1533-position model. The record is from RNAcentral.
UACGGAGGAUCCAAGCGUUGUCCGGAUUUAUUGGGUUUAAAGGGUGCGUAGGCGGAUAUGCAAGUCAGAGGUGAAAGCUAGCAGCUUAACUGUUAAAUUGCCUUUGAAACUGCAUAUCUUGAGUAUAGUUGAGGUGGGCGGAAUGUAUCAUGUAGCGGUGAAAUGCUUAGAUAUGAUACAGAACUCCGAUUGCGAAGGCAGCUCACUAAGCUAUAACUGACGCUGAGGCACGAAAGCGUGGGUAGCGAAC